This is a long non-coding RNA of Ceratitis capitata (Mediterranean fruit fly), 1301 nucleotides long. RefSeq lists it as uncharacterized. The record is from RefSeq and is a predicted model, not a curated record. Lineage: Eukaryota; Metazoa; Arthropoda; Insecta; Diptera; Tephritidae. The transcript has 2 exons.
CAAGGAUGUAUUUUGUGUUGAAGUGUACUCUGCUCGCGCUACGUUGUAAAAAUUAUGGCGCGCUAAUUAAGGCCAGGUAGUGCAAAGAAGAUAUAUACGGUAAAUUAUCCAAAAAAUUCAGCCUCCAUAGCGAAAAAUCCGCAAAUGGGUUAAACCUGAUCGACUUCGCCGGAGCCCCAUAUAUGGCUGUCUGUAGUACUAGAUUCCAGCACAAAAGAGUUCAUCAAGCUACUUUGCUAUCCUCUGAUAGAAAAAGUUUUGACUUCGAUCAGAUCGAUCAAGUUGCAUUGUAAUUGACGGAGUUCUUGUCUCUCAUUAUUGAAAUUUCAACAUUAAAACUUGAUAGAAUUAAAUAUUAGAUUAUAUUUCAAUACAAUAUUCUAUUGAAAUUACGAUUAAAGUUGCCGUUGUUCGUAAUAAAUUAGCCAAAAUUCCUCUAAAAACUAUUAAGGAGGGACUGCCCGGAAAUGUUAUUAAAAUUGCGGAUUUUCGAGCGAACGAAUUGAAGAGUUUCAUUUCUUGCCAUCUUUGCUGCAAUUGUGACCGAUAUCUGGGUUUGUAUGAAUAUCAUUGCGGCUUCUUAUAAACUUUUGAAAAUUCAGUUGUUAAAAAACAAUUGUGGAACUUCAUUAUACAUAUUAUUUUCGUGCAAAUUGAAAGAAAGCAAUCAAAAUGAUUUACUAUACCUUCCGAAACAAUAAGACUGACUUUCUAAGCUUAUUAAUAAGUAAAACGGAAGCGAACUGAUACCCUCUGGAAACAAUAAUUUGAAUAAAGCAAAACGAGAUACUCAAAUAAUACAUAUAAAUUGAGACAAUAAGAGAAGAAAGGUCUUCUACUAGCAAAAUGUGGGCGGCUACUCUGUUCUUUCGCGGAAAAUUUAUGUGGAAAUAGACAAGAUAGGAAUAUUUUGUGUGCAAUUUUUUUUAUUCCUUUUGAUUGGAGAACAUUUGUUUAGAAGUAAAAUGUAAAGUAAGAAUGGCAUUAACUUUUUCAGAGAAUUGCAAUUGUACUAAACGACAAGUGGAAAUGAAUUUAAGCCAGAAACCAAAACCAGAAACUUACAAGACAUCCCCCAGGGAAUCGUUUGUUUUAGGCAAAUGGCUUUAUGUGCGCUCUUACUGCGCACAGCCUCACAUUGCACAGAUGUCGAAAUUAUGGCACGUAAUGGACACUUCUGUGGAUAAAUGUAAUUGAAAGUAAUGUAAUGUUUUGAAUUUAUUUAAAUUGAUGAACUUAAUGACGCAAGAACAUUUAAUGAAUGGAAAAUAAUGAAAAUCAAUAAAAGGUUGUUUACACAA